CGGGCUGGCCGGGUGAUCGCGGCAGUCAUUUUCGGCUGCUGAGGAAAGUCCGCACUCCACAGAGCACGGCGCCGGGUAACACCCGGAGCGGGGUAACCUGCUGGAUCGGGCCACAGAAACAAACCGCUGCCUGUUUCAGGCAGCAAGGGUGAAAAGGUGGUGUAAGAGACCACCGGAGUCCGCAGUAAUGCGGCUGCCAGGCAACCCCCGCCGGGAGCAAAGCCAAGCAGGAACGAGGGGCUGCUCGUCCCGUUUGAGUUCCGGGUAGGCUGCAUAGAACCGUCUGGUAACAGCCGGUCAAGAGAGAUGAUCACCCCACCCGCAGCCGUCCCAAUCGGGAUACCCUGCGGGUGGACAGAAUGCGGCUUACAGGCCAGCCCGGUAC
This 385-nucleotide RNase P RNA is filed under the name Bellilinea caldifistulae. RNAcentral describes it as "Bacterial RNase P class A". It matches the Rfam family "Bacterial RNase P class A". From Rfam's summary of the family: Ribonuclease P (RNase P) is a ubiquitous endoribonuclease, found in archaea, bacteria and eukarya as well as chloroplasts and mitochondria. Its best characterised activity is the generation of mature 5'-ends of tRNAs by cleaving the 5'-leader elements of precursor-tRNAs. Lineage: Bacteria; Bacillati; Chloroflexota; Anaerolineae; Anaerolineales; Anaerolineaceae. The record is from Rfam by way of RNAcentral.